CGACGGGCUCGCCGAGUGGACUGCGGCGGCCCGCCUCUACCGGACGGUCUUCGGCUACGAGGAGCCGGAGUACGGGUUGAGCCCCCGCCUGCUGGCC
This 97-nucleotide transfer RNA is filed under the name Actinoplanes lobatus. Its description in RNAcentral is "tRNA-Arg". The record is from RNAcentral. Lineage: Bacteria; Bacillati; Actinomycetota; Actinomycetes; Micromonosporales; Micromonosporaceae.